AAGCUUCCCAGGCCCAUUAGUUCCCACACUCUCCUGCUGCCUUGCACUACUCAUAACAUUGCUACCCUCUUAAAGCAUGACCUUGUCCUUAAGGCUGAAUGUGGGGAACUGGUUUCUGAAAUCAAUUAAAUCCAUCCAAGUAGCCUCAUCCAAGGAUUACCCUUCCAUUGAACUAAAAUUUGAGUAAUUGGAGAAUGCUGAUCUGAAAUAACCCUCUGCUUCAAAAUAUGCUCAGGUUCAAUUAAUGGCUCAUCAACAACCAUAUCAUGAGGCUACAACAUCAUGAAUGCCUACUGCCUUUUUUAACUGAGAUACGUGGAAUACUGGAUGAAUGCGAGCUUCAGGAGGUAGCUGUAGUUUAUAAGCCACAAAUCCAAUUUUUCCCACAAUAGUAAAAGGGCCAUAAUAUCAAGCAGCCAAUUUUGGAACUACUCAAGCAUGAGCUGAUAUUUGUCUAUGGGGUUUAAAUUUCAAGAACACAAAAUCACCAUUCUCAAAUGUUACCUCCUGGCGGGGAGCAUUAGCCGCCUUCAACAUUCGUUGUUGGGCUCGUUGGAGAUUGUAUUGCAGUUGCCUCAACAUUGUAUCACUAUCGAAUAACUCUUGCGAUACUGCCUCAAUCUUUUUUUCUCCCGGCAUGAAUUUGGGAAUGGAAGGAGGACAUCUGCCAUACACAACUUGGAAUGGGGUCAUGCCCGUAGCAGUAUGAAAGCUAGUAUUGAACUAAUAUUCAGCCCAAUGCAACCAUUUACUCCAAUGUUUCGGUUGUUGUGAAGUAAAGCAUCUCAGAUAAGUUUCAAGGCAGCAAUUUGAAACUUUCGUUUGUCCAUCUGUUUUCGGAUGAUGGGCUAUGGUUAUAAUGAGACUAGUGCCCUGUAAUCUCAAAACCUCUUGCAAGAAAUUACUAAGGAAAACAGGAUCUCUGUCACUGACAAUGGAUUCAGGCAUGCCAUGUAACCGAAUAAUCUCCAUGGUAAAAAUCUUUGCUGUUGUCUUGGCGGUAAAAGGGUGAGUGACCAUAUUUAGAGAGUUUAUCCGUGACAACUAAAAUACAAUCUAUUCCGUGAGAUCUUGGCAGCCCA
This 1082-nucleotide unclassified non-coding RNA is filed under the name Hevea brasiliensis (rubber tree). Lineage: Eukaryota; Viridiplantae; Streptophyta; Magnoliopsida; Malpighiales; Euphorbiaceae. The record is from RNAcentral.